GUUUAUCUGACAAGUCUUAAAUAGGACGAAACGCGCGUCCCGGAU
This is a non-coding RNA of Schistosoma margrebowiei, 45 nucleotides long. The record is from Rfam. Lineage: Eukaryota; Metazoa; Platyhelminthes; Trematoda; Strigeidida; Schistosomatidae.